CCCUGGGGAUAACAGGCUUAUCUCCCCCAAGAGUCCACAUCGACGGGGAGGUUUGGCACCUCGAUGUCGGCUCAUCACAUCCUGGGGCUGUAGUAGGUCCCAAGGGUUGGGCUGUUCGCCCAUUAAAGUGGUACGCGAGCUGGGUUCAGAACGUCGUGAGACAGUUCGGUCCCUAUCCGUCGCAGGCGUAGGAAAUUUGAGAAGACCUGUCCUUAGUACGAGAGGACCGGGAUGGACGUACCUCUGGUGUACCAGUUGUUCUGCCAAGGGCAUGGCUGGGUAGCUAUGUACGGAAUGGAUAAGCGCUGAAAGCAUCUAAGCGCGAAGCCAACUUCAAGAUAAGAUUUCCCACCGCAAGGGUAAGACCCCAGAAAGACUAUCUGGUUGAUAGGUCGAAGGUGUAAGUGCAGCAAUGUAUUUAGCUUAUCGAUACUAAUAGGUCGAGGACUUGACCAAU
This 457-nucleotide ribosomal RNA is filed under the name Clostridioides difficile. Its description in RNAcentral is "partial 23S ribosomal RNA". It matches the Rfam family "Bacterial large subunit ribosomal RNA", at positions 2466 to 2925 of the family's 2925-position model. The record is from RNAcentral. Lineage: Bacteria; Bacillati; Bacillota; Clostridia; Peptostreptococcales; Peptostreptococcaceae.